CCGAAUAGUUCAUUGCGAUGCAAUAUGGGCCGUCCGUGCGCGAUUCAAUCUGGACCAUCCAUGUGCAUUCAAUUUGGGCCGUCCGUGCAUGUUUUUGAUCUGGGCCGUUCGUGCGCGUGAGAACGGAUCUCAGCUGUUCAAUCACGCGCACGCAGAUCGCCCACGUGGCCUCCCACGUCAGCAUCUCUGCCAGGCGGCGCGGCCUGGUUGGCCGGGGCUACUAACCGGACAGCUGACGUGGUGUAAUUUUUUUAAAUUGCGUUUUGACCCCCUAGUUUUUAAUUUUUCUUUC
RNAcentral lists this long non-coding RNA (292 nucleotides) under Carica papaya (papaya). RNAcentral's name for it is "long non-coding RNA (CPAP_LNC003162)". Lineage: Eukaryota; Viridiplantae; Streptophyta; Magnoliopsida; Brassicales; Caricaceae. The record is from RNAcentral.